GCGAGUAUAAAGGAAUUGGUAGACUUUAUAGCCUUCCAAGCUAAAAAUUACGGGUUCGAGUCCCGUUACUCGCU
RNAcentral lists this transfer RNA (74 nucleotides) under Riquetophycus sp. HSY-2014a. RNAcentral's name for it is "tRNA-Gly". It matches the Rfam family "tRNA". Rfam says of the family: Transfer RNA (tRNA) molecules are approximately 80 nucleotides in length. The record is from RNAcentral. Lineage: Eukaryota; Rhodophyta; Florideophyceae; Peyssonneliales; Peyssonneliaceae.